AUACGUAGGGGCCAAACGUUGUCCGGAUUUAUUGGGCGUAAAGGGCUCGUAGGCGGUUCAACAAGUCGGUCGUGAAAACCCGGGGCUCAACCCCGGGACGCCGGUCGAAACUGUUGUGACUAGGGUCCGGUAGAGGUGAGUGGAAUUCUCGGUGUGGCGGUGGAAUGCGCAGAUAUCGAGAGGAACACCAGUAGCGAAGGCGGCUCACUGGGCCGGUACCGACGCUGAGGAGCGAAAGCAUGGGGAGCAAACAGGAUUAGAAACCCUAGUAGUCC
RNAcentral lists this ribosomal RNA (275 nucleotides) under uncultured bacterium. RNAcentral's name for it is "partial 16S ribosomal RNA". It matches the Rfam family "Bacterial small subunit ribosomal RNA", at positions 523 to 796 of the family's 1533-position model. The record is from RNAcentral.